UCGCCAAAUAACUACGAGAUAGACUUAAAAUUUAAAAGACUUGACGGUACCUCAAAACAACCUAGAGGAGCCUGUCAAAUAACCGAUAAUCCACGAUUAACCCAACCCACACUAGCCCACCAGCCUAUAUACCACCGUCGCCAGCCUACCUUAUGAAAGAAACAAAGUAAGCCAAAUAGCCAUACACUAAAACGACAGGUCGAGGUGUAGCUCAUGAGUGGGUCCAAGAUGGGCUACACUUUCUACUACAGAAAACACGAAUAAACUAUGAAACAAGAAACUGAAGGAGGAUUUAGAAGUAUAUUAGGAAUAAAAUACCUAAUCGAAACCAAUGCAAUGAAGUGCGUACACACCGCCCGUCAUCCCUGUAAAUUUAACUAAAACUUACAUAAAUACAUAUACUAAUUAAAACAGGGCAAGUCGUAACAAGGUAAGUGU
RNAcentral lists this ribosomal RNA (438 nucleotides) under Rhinobothryum lentiginosum. RNAcentral describes it as "partial 12S ribosomal RNA". Lineage: Eukaryota; Metazoa; Chordata; Lepidosauria; Squamata; Colubridae. The record is from RNAcentral.